Molecule: transfer RNA, 77 nt
Filed under: Shewanella putrefaciens
Lineage: Bacteria; Pseudomonadati; Pseudomonadota; Gammaproteobacteria; Alteromonadales; Shewanellaceae
Description: tRNA-Met
Source: RNAcentral
GGGUUUCUUCCUCCGUCAUGCCUAAUUCGAGUGGUUUACUCGAAUGGGUAUCCCCCACAGAAACAUAGCCUUGCUCC